Macaca mulatta (Rhesus monkey) is the source of this 1282-nucleotide long non-coding RNA. RefSeq lists it as uncharacterized. The record is from RefSeq and is a predicted model, not a curated record. NCBI's taxonomy places the organism in Eukaryota, Metazoa, Chordata, Mammalia, Primates, Cercopithecidae.
UCCGCCGCGAGCUCAUGGAAAGGCCAGGCAGCUGCCGCCGCUGUCCGAACCUCGCUCCCUCCCUCCCAGGCUCCGGGCGACGGACGGGGCGGCAGGAGGCAUGACGGGAAAUUCCUGGGCACGGGCAGCCGAGUCCAAAUAUGAGCAUAGGAGACGAGCGAGGGAGGACCACGGAGCGCGCCGGCCGCGGACGGGGCCCGCUGCCCGGGGCUCUGCGGCCGCCAACUCCCUCCUCCUCUGCCCUGUCCUCUUCCUCCUCCUCCUCCUCCUCCUCCUCCUCCUCCUCUGCGCCGUCCUCCUUCUCCUCCUCCCCCUCUUCCUCCUUCCCACGGUUGCCGGCCGCCCUCUGCAAGGGGGCAUCCCUUUCCAACUCGGGACCUCAGAGCACAGCCGAGCGCCCACCUGGCGUGUUCCACCUGAGACCGCUGAAGGAGUGGGAAACAGACAAAUCAACACGAAGAGACCGGACAGCGAGCCAGGGACUUGUGGGAAGACGUGUCAGGAGUUGAGAGCGUUGGUGGUGAGGGGAUAAAAAGUUGUGGGAGAGUGAGGUAGGAGCAGCGCUGCCAGUUAGUUACUUGGCCAUCCUAUAUAUACCGAACAAGCACUCACUAUAAUACGCGUUCCAGUAAAGUGAUUUGCCUGCAUCUCCAAUGAUGGUAUUUUCUGUUUGACACAGUCGAAGCUAUCCCUUUUGUUGAUAAAUUCUGGAGAAAGUUGAAGUCUAUACUCCCGUGAUUGAUGUGCUGCCUGACUCUGCCAGAUUUUGCUUUGGAUAUGCUGCAGAUGCAGAAGGCUGGAUCCACCGCCAAACCAGAAAAUCUGCACCACCUAUUCUUCGUGUUUCCGUGCGAACUCUAGACUCAUUAGCAGCAAGGAAGUCAACAGCUCUAUCCCAGACUUUCUUCAUUUUUUUCCUAUCAAGUGGACAAAAUGGCAAAUUUACUAUCAUCUUGGCUUAUGUCAUCUUUUUGAAAUAUUAGUAUCUGAGGUAAUGUUAACUCUAGCUGUUCUUACCACUACUCAUGGAGUUUGUUCAAAGAAGAUUUAGAUGCCUAUACCUCAUCUCAGAUUUACUGAGUUUCAAUUUCCAGAGCUAGAGCACAAACAUCUGUAUUUUUUUUUCCCCCAAAGCUCCACUGGCGAUUAUGUGCUGCUAGGGUCAAGAUGCUGCUUCAGGAUAUGGAAUUAUCUAUUAUUUUCAAAAAGUUGUAUUUAGUUUUUACUUUAAAAUCUUCAUUAAUAAUAAAAUUAGUACUUAAUAAACAUUAGUAAAACACCA